Molecule: long non-coding RNA, 24111 nt
Filed under: Musa acuminata (dwarf banana)
Lineage: Eukaryota; Viridiplantae; Streptophyta; Magnoliopsida; Zingiberales; Musaceae
Description: long non-coding RNA (MACU_LNC004278)
Source: RNAcentral
GGGAGAGGAGGGAGUAAUGGCCGGGCUGGAACAUGUGGCUGGUGGGACAGGCGGCGAAGAUGCCGGGAAGGGCGGAGGAGGCGGCGGAUGCGGAAGUGGGGGCGAGGAGGUACAUGAGGACGAAGUUAACGAUGGAUCCCACGACCAGGGUGCAAAAUACGAGGUCGAGCUCGUUGAGGCCGAAGUUGGGGCGCGAGGCCAUGUCGCCGAGGACGCACGAAGUGACGCCGACGAGCUCCUCCAUGAGGACCUUGAAGGGGAACUGGGGAUCGGCAGAAACCCUAGAACGCCACCCCUGGAGGAAGAGGCCAAGGGGGCCGCUAGGAUCGGACGAGGCCGGCUCCCCGCGGUGGCGAUCAUCGUCAGGGGUGCCAUCGCCGCCGCUUCCGCCACGGCCGUUAUCACCGGGGCCAUUGGGUGGGAUCGAGGAUCCGCCACCGGAUAGCACGGCGGAGUCGGGGGAGGUUAGGCUUUGCGAGAGGCUAGGGUUUGCGGAACGGGGAAGGAGGAGCCGGAGGGAGAGGGAAGGGAAAGGGCGGGAAGAGGAAGGGGGCGAGAAGGAAGGGAGGUGAUCGUGAUGGGUUCCUCCAGGGAAGCGGCAGAUCCCGGCACGGUUUGGGAGCGAGGAGAGGCGGAACUGCGGGGCGGCGGUGGCGGUAACCAUGGUGGCGUAGUUCCCAGGCGAGAGAGAGAGAGUGUGAGGGGAUUCUUAAGCAACGACGAACACUGUUCUGGUCCUCGAUCGAUUCGCUGAUUUUAAGAGCACAGAAAACAGAUCGAUGAACGAAUGAAACGAAAAGUGAUGCGACCGAGCGAAUGAAUACAAACGUUUCAUACUCGUACAUGUGAGAGACACUUACUGUUUCCUGUAAGCGAGUAUAUACGGACGGAGAAGCCGCCACUACGCGGACUUUUUGAAGUUCCCCGUCCAAGUCGGACUUCGUUUACCCGAUCUGCCCUUUAGGGCAUCGCAGUGAUGGAUGGUUUUGGUGUGACAUCAUUAGUAAUUAUGUUUCCUCGAAAGGGGUAUUUGGGGGACAAAAUAUGGGAUUUAGAGGAUUCUUUUCUUAUAAGGGUUUUGUUUGAUUUAGAAAUUCUAAUUUCUCUCUUAGAAUGUUAGGAAGAAUCAUUACAAAAUGCAAAAAGCUUGGAAUUAUCAAUCGAAUUUAUCAUAUAGAAAUUGGAAAUUACACUUCCAAAAGGAGCUUUACAUUUCCAUCUUCCAAAGAUUUGAAAUGGAGUAUUUGUCUUUGUAAUUUCAACAUAGCAUACAUGUUCCUCCAAAUAUAAAUACAAAAUACCCUAAAAUACUCAUAAUGUUCUCAUAAUUUUUAAAAAUACACUAAUCUGAAUUAGAAUUUUAACUAUUUGUUCAAUUGACAUAUAUUAUUAUAAGAAUUUACAUGCAACUUUCUUUAAUUUUGCAUGAAUAUAUAAAUGAAUAAAUAUGAAAAUUACUAACUUGGAAUGAUAUCUAUGCUAAUUAUAUAAUUUAUAAAACACCGAAUGUCUGAGAUGAGACAACAAGGGUCUAUUGCGUAGAAAGAAACAGUAUUAACGACACAAUCUUAAGUUCUACAGAAUAACGAAGGAUGAUGAUAUUAGAUUAUGUGGUACUUUAUAAUUAGAUAAGAUGUAUAAUUGAAUUAAUUAAAUUUUGAUGAUCACGAAUAGAAAAGAAAUUCAUAUUAUAAUAAGAAUCAUUGGGAAUGUCACAGAUGAAAAAAACUUUUCUAAUAACUUAUUUUAGACUCUCUACUCUCGUCUAUAAAUAGAUAAAACCUCUAAGGAUUAGACGAUACAUUUCAUAAAGGACACAGUUGAAAGAUUAUAAUUUCUCUCUAACUUUUCUAAACUAUCAAUGGUCAUAUGAAAAGAUAAGAAAAUAAGAGAAGGAGAGUCUAGUUUUACUUACAUUGACAGUAAUUUUUUGAAUUAAAAAUGAUGCCUAAAUCACAUAAAGAUCACUAUAUCAUAAAAAUUGAUAUAAUAUUAUUUGAUUAUAAUUAUGAGAUUUUGAGCCCAUGGCUCUAUCUUCAGUGGAUGAUUGCAGAGUGGGGUGGAUUUUGUCCUACACAAUAAUAAUAAUUACGUCCACUAAUAACAAAUUGGAAUCCCAUAUAUUAAAAUAUAAUUUUAAUUUUUUAAAUAAUAUAUAUAAUAAUAAUAAUAAUAAUAAUAAUUUAAAUUAAUUUAAUCUAAUCAAACCAAAAUUUUAAUUCAAUUCGUCCUAUAUUAUUAAAAAGUUUAUAUCAUAAAUAUCAUUCUAAGCAAUCAACCGCACACCAAUUUGGACCAUCUGCAGUGGGGAAAACCAUCAAACUGCGACGGUUUCGUCACCCAUGGUUUGUGUACCCGCACACAUGUCUUCCUCUUCCAAUGGUCUGAGACGAAGUCCCACAAGGCCGCACAUCCCCAUCUAAUUAAAAGCAGCGACACAAGACAUCAGAAUCAGUGUGCUCUCCGUUGGCCGAUGAAUAACCACCAACUUCUUCAUGCUAUUUAUGCCCCCAAUCUCACCUUUAUCUUCGUCUCAUCGCCUCCAGCUCAAACUCAGAUCUCGACAUGGCUUCCCUUGUUCUCAUCCUGGCGGAGCUCCUGCGGCCGGAAAAGGCCAAGCUGCUCACCGCCGCCGCCAACUGCCCGCCCAGCACUCGCUUUUCUCGUGAUGUCGUUGCUGCUGCUGGUGCUGCCGCCGGGAGAGGAAGGAGCGACAGGUGCAGAAGGACGAGAUCGUCUUCUGAGAUCGACAGCAGCGUCGAUGCGUUCGAGGAGGAUCCCACCGAGGCGAAGGUCUCCGUGGAAUCCAUUUGGUUUUAGACUUCUUGUUCCGAGUGACGGUGGCUGUAAAUGGUGGUUGGUGUCUUUGAUUUUUGAGUGUCGUGUAGCUCUUUGAAUCCAUCGCUCGAUGAACAGCUUGUGGACCUGUAAAAAUUAGAUGGAUGUGUUUAUAUCAUUUUCAAGUCCUUUCAGAUUCUGAAUUCGUGAUGAUUUUGGGCCAUUGUGACGUUCGUGAUGUACUUAUUAUUAUUAUUAUUAUUAUUAUUAUUAUUAUUAUCUAAUAAGAGAGAGCAUCAAAAAUCAAAUCGCCCGUCCAUAUUCCAGCACCAUCCACGUGGCAGCAGUAAGUGAUUAUCCACGUGGCAGUGGUAAGUGAUUCGGGAUGAUCGUCUGUCCUCGUACUAUUAGACGUCGUAUAAGUCGAUGUCACAUAUUGUAGAGUCACUCUAGAAAAUUUGAAACGAUGUCAUACGGUAUGAUUCGUACAAGUCAAUCGACACUUGCACGUAAGGUAUAAGCCAUCCUCAUUUUGAGUUGAUUGUCAUUAAAGGAUCAUGUACGAUCGACCAUCCCUUCGUAAGUAUAAAAGCCAACUCUCUGACUAAUAAAAGGGAAUUUCGUACAUUCAAAUUACUUUUAUUCUAUUCGACUAUAAUUUAAACUUCAGAGAAAUCGAGUCAGGAAGUCCCUCUCCCGAUCUUGAUCUGAGUAGAGGGGCUAGCUACGAAGAAACAGGUGACUGAGACCCACAACUUAACCCGACUCGAUGCUUACUUCCACCACUCGAGUUUCCAUGUGAAUGACUUUAUGUAUUCGAGAUCGGAUCGAAUACAGGUACAUAAAAAUAGCAUCUACUGCAACGGCAUCCUCUCUUUUCUCUAUUACUCAUGUUUUCCCAUCAUCCUUUCUCUCUUCAGUGACCUUUUUCUUGAGAUUAAUCCUGAGGGUGAUUUCAUUGUACAAAUUAAAGAUCAAUUAGAUCAAUUGACCGAGAUAUGUGUCAAUGCAAUUANNNNNNNNNNNNNNNNNNNNAUAUAUAUAUCAUCCCCUCUCAUAUAUAUCAUUUAUCAUCUGCCUAAUUCCAAGAUUUGUUAGGAGAAAAUAAUUCACUUCACAUUUAUGUAGUACAUUAAUAUCAUUAAACUCGAAAUUUCGACAUAUUGAAAAUCUUAUAAAAAUAAAUAAAUAUUAUUUUUUAUAUAAAAAACAUAAAUUAACCCAAGCGAUUCAGUGAGCUAUUAUCGACAUUUUCAUACGGGAUUCCAAUAGGAUACUUAUCGUCUACGUUUAGUACUCGCAGUUCUGCCACGUGUUGGUUCCCCGCCAAUUUCUCUACGUAUCAUACAAAGAAGACACUAAUCAUCUACGUAUAAAUCCCGAUUUCUUGGCGCCAAAAGUACGAAGAAAACGAGGGAGAAGAUAAGCGCGAAAGCAUAAUAGUCAAAGGACGGUUGGUUCCCGCCAAUUUCUCUACGCCUCUACUCCCCCUUCUCCAACUCAUUCCCUCUCCCUCUUCCCAUCCAAACCCCAAACUCUCCCUCCUACCACCAAUAUCCACUCUGUCCUCCUCCUCCCUUCCUCUAUCAUGCGACCGCCUCCUCGUCCCUUGUAGCCGAUCACCUCCUCCUCCUCUUCCUCCUCCUCCUCCUCCGUCAUGGGCAACUGCUUCACCAAGGAGGACGCCGACUCCGCCUCACCCGAUGCCGCCGCUGCUGCCGAUUCAACCUCGGGCUCUGAUCCCAUUGACGCCGCCCCCAUCCAGAACGCUCCCAUCUCCACCGCCACCUGCACCUCGCCGCCCAAGCCGGCCGCCAUCGGCCCCGUGCUCGGCCGCCCGAUGGAGGACGUCGGCGCCACCUACUCCCUCGGCAAGGAGCUGGGGCGAGGCCAGUUCGGCGUCACCCAUCUCUGCACCCACAAGGCCACCGACGAGAAGCUGGCUUGCAAGACCAUCGCCAAGCGGAAGCUCGCCAACAAGGAAGACAUCGAGGACGUGAGGAGGGAGGUCCAGAUCAUGUACCACCUCGCGGGGCAGCCCAACAUCGUCGAGCUGAAGGGGGCCUACGAGGACAAGCAGUCGGUGCACCUCGUGAUGGAGCUGUGCGCCGGCGGGGAGCUCUUCGAUCGGGUCAUCGCGAGGGGCCACUACACGGAGCGGGCGGCGGCGUCGCUGCUGAGGACGAUCGUGGAGAUCGUGCACACGUGCCAUUCCAUGGGGGUGAUGCACAGAGACCUCAAGCCGGAGAAUUUCCUGCUGCUGAACAAGGACGAGGACGCGCCUCUCAAGGCCACCGACUUCGGGCUCUCGGUCUUCUUCAAGCAAGGUUUACUUUCUCCAUCCUCUUCCUCUCUUCCUUCUUGUUCUAGCUACUAUUUCUGUGGUGAUUCAAUGAAACUCUGCUAUGCAUCUGCACGAAACAAGGCAAAUUCUGCUAUAAGAAUAGCUAAACCUUCUAAAUUGCUUUCCAUUUGAAUGGUGUAAUAGCCACCACUAGAAAAGGAAUUGAAGCUAAGCAUAGACAUGAAUCCAUAUGCAACUCCAGCAGCUUUCUGAGAUUCUUCAAAUUCGACUAUGUUUGCAACAUACAGUGUGAUCUACACUAUGUUGUCUUUAAACAGUUAAUGCUCAUCUUCUCCAACACUUUCACCCAUCUAAUCCUCAUGGACUACAAGCAAGCACCGAAACUUUAAUCUUGCCUGCUCCUCUCUGUACACGGAUCUGAAUGUGAUGUUACAAUAUUGAACAGUUCAAUCACUUCUACCGAGUCUUCUGCAUCUUUGUUCAUCACUUCUGUGGCCUCUAAACAGUUUUACUGUCUACAGAUUAUCAUGAAAUUUAUUUGCCAUUGACAUACUGCUAUCUUUUCCGGAUUUUUUUUGUUUAACCUUAAUUUAAUGCUGUAAAUUUCACUAAACCUGUAGCAAUUAGCAUAGGGAAUGAUGUUAUCACCUACUGCCAUAGCAUGUCAAUUCAAGUUCAUAGAGCAUGUGUUCUCUUACCAUGAUUUCUCCCAUAGAAAGGAAGAUAACAUAAAAGACCUCUUCCCUGAUCUGCAGUAAACGCCUUCUCCAGACUGAUAUCAUAUUACCUUUUACAGAUAAAGCCUACAAAAUAUUUAGGUGGCCUUUACUCCAACUGAACAAAUAAUAGUCCAGCAAAUGAAGCAUUUUUAUAUCAAAACGAGUUUGAUAUUAUUAAUGCAUUAAGAAAUUCUGUACGUUUGCAUUUUUGGGAGGAAUUGUCUUUAGUGUUUUGCUUAUGCAGCAUUUAAUCUUAUCUGGUUCGCAUGUCAUCUAUAGCUAACAACUUAAUUAAAAUCUGUCCAAAACAGGUGAGGUAUUUAGAGACAUAGUUGGCAGUGCAUUUUACAUAGCACCUGAAGUCCUCAAGCGAGCAUAUGGGCCAGAAGCUGAUAUUUGGAGUAUAGGGGUGAUGCUCUACAUUUUCCUCUGUGGAGUUCCUCCAUUUUGGGCUGGUAAUUUUCUUUUAUGCAACUUUUUACGGUUUAUACUCCCUAAAUUGUGAGAAUGAAGGGUAAAACUAAUAUUAAUUCCAACAGAAUCUGAACAAGGGAUCUUCAAUGCAAUUCUACAAGGACAGAUCGACUUCACAAGUGAUCCAUGGCCUAACAUUUCACCUGGUGCCAAGGAUCUUGUCAGAAAGAUGCUGAAGUUAGAUCCCAGACAGAGGCUAACAGCAUUCGAAGUUCUCAGUAAGAUUUAUUUUCAUCUCAAUGGCAUAUUUUGUAGCUUACCAGCAUCAAUACCUUAUUUUUUGCUCGACGAGGACUUGAUCUAGGUCAACUUUGAUGCUGUGCCCUAAUUAAGCAUACUUCAUUUGUGAAUCAAUCUGAAAGAGUAGGUUUCAUUUAUUUUCGUAUGCAUAGCAGAACAUUUCUCAGAGUUUUCUGCUUUUCAUGAUAGGAUUUCUAGGCUUCAUUUGUCAUAGUAAUAGGCACUGAUGCAUGUUUUAGACUUUUAGUUAUGUUUCUUCCUAGCUUUGCUGGUGCAGAUUGUAAUGGUACUGUUUGCAAUUGCAUUGCAUAAAUCAAAUUUUGAUUAUUGUAAAAAAGACUAAUUAGUUAGCUGCAAAUCUUGGAGUAAAAAAAUUUAUCCAAAGAGAAAAAAAAUGUAUCCAUAUUUCAAUCAGACAUAUUCUGAUCACUAGGCAAAGGCCAAAUUGGUAGUCAACAUAGUAUUUGCUUGUUCUUGACAAAAUCAAGGCACACUUAAUGUCAAAGACAGAGAACAUUCAUUUCUUAUUAUUCUUUUCUAUUCCUUUUGAGGGGUGGACAAAAGGCCAUAUAAGUUAUAUCCAGAGUCUCAUACCACAAGUAUAGUCUCUUGCUAUGUUUUUGAAUACACAGCUUCUUUCCCUGGAUAUCUUGAUGAUAAUAAAUACUGCAGAUAGUUCUCAUCUAAUUAUGACUUACAAUUCAGACCAUCCAUGGAUCAAAGAAGAUGGAGAAGCACCUGAUACGCCACUUGACAAUGCUGUUCUCAACAGACUGAAACAGUUCAGAGCAAUGAACCAGUUUAAGAAAGCUGCUUUAAGGGUAAACUUCUUGCUUUCCUGUUGAAAUAUUGCAUCAACUCAAGGUCCACAGAAUUUGCUAUAUGAUUGACUAGUAUUGCUUAGUGACACAAUUCAAGGAUCACUAGUGGAGAUGGAAUCAUACCACACCUCACCUUUUUCUUUUAGAAAUUAGAACCACAGGUAAUUCAUUGACCUGGAUGUGAUACUAAUUAACUUCGUGGUCUGGAUUCAAGUUUAACAACAAAACAUAGUAAUUAGCCGGAUAUCGCACAAGAUUUUCUUUUAUUUUGAGCAUGAAAGCUUAAAAAGAAAUCAUCUUUUCAUUCUAAAAGAAAAUCUUUUUCAAGGAAAAACAAUUAGAAAGCUGUUGGGUCACUUUUUGGAAGAAGAAAGGCAUUCAUCAGUCACAAGGGUCUAGUUGUGAUCUUUUAAUGCAUUUUUAUUACUAAAUUUAAAUAUCUGCAGGUAAUAGCAGGAUGCUUAUCAGAGGAGGAGAUCAGAGGCCUGAAGGAAAUGUUCAAGAAUAUGGAUUCUGACAAUAGUGGAACCAUAACUCUUGAAGAACUGAAACAAGGUCUUGCUAAGCAAGGAACAAAGCUAUCGGAGCAUGAAGUCAAACAGCUAAUGGAAGCUGUAUGUUCUAUAUGCAUUCAAAUCUUUCUAGAUAAUUCAAUCAAUGUAGAAGGAAAGAACCUAACUGUUGCACUAACUCUUUGGUUCUAUAACAAUAUAAUAACUUCUUAACACAGGCUGACGCAGAUGGGAAUGGAACUAUCGAUUAUGAGGAGUUCAUUACAGCAACGGUGCACAUGAACAGAAUGGAUAGAGAAGAGCAUCUAUAUACAGCAUUCCAGUACUUUGAUAAGGACAACAGUGGGUAAGUUUUGACCACACUGAGAAUUCCAUACAACUUAUCACCAUGACAUGAGCAUUUCUAAUGUUGGAUGAUAGAUCAAACAAUUCAAUGACCUUAUCAAUUUCUGAUUAGUUUUCUUUAUUCUUCUUUAGAUAUAUUACAAUGGAAGAACUUGAGCAAGCUCUGAAAGAGAAGGGGCUAUACGAUGAAAAGGAAAUCAAGGACAUAAUAUCUGAAGCCGAUGUGGAUAAUGUAAGUAGAAAGAGACCAUGCAACAGCAUGAAUCAGCAUAUUACUAGAUAAUUAAUGUAGAGCUCAGAGGCCUAGCCAAUUUGUAUAUGAAUAGCUGUUUGAAGAAACAAAACUAACACGAUCUUUUUUCCUGCUCUCUUGCAAUAUACAGGAUGGAAGGAUAAAUUAUGAUGAGUUUGCGGCCAUGAUGAGAAAAGGGAACCCGGAGCCAAAUCCAAAGAAGAGAAGAGAUGUGGUUCUUUAACCAUAUACAGAGAAGAGGAAUGAGAGGAACAGUGUUGUAUCCAAUAUUUUGGCAUGCUGGAGAAAUCAUUCAUAAGAUUGUAAGCUAAUCAAGAGAGGACAAAAGAACCUGAACAGCUUCAUAGUGAAUUCUAUUCAUAAUCUUCAUGUACAAAAUCUUGCUUGUGGGGAUCGAGUUAGGUGGAGAAAAUCUCAAACAUCUUGAUGGCUUUUGAAGGUGUCAGCUUUUCUGAAGUCCAUGAUAGAAAUAAGCAAUCUUAUGUGAGCUAAUCCCUACAAUAGAUUAAUUGAUUUAGAGAAUUUGCAAAGUGAAUAGUGUGUAAACCUCCAGCAGCUGCAAUCUCAUGAAUGCAUUUUUUUUUGAACAAGCUGAAGGUGUUGUUAACCUGAAUAAAAUCCUUCCUCAUUGGCAGAGUAUGGUGGAAAAUAAUCUAUUGAGAACCUCACUGUUCAAAUGAUAUGGGAUAACAAAAAAAAGGGUGUGUCCAAUGUACAACGCUCCUGUCGAUGCGGAGUCUGGGGAGGGUCAAUGUACAUAGCUUUUUUUUAAGAGACAUUAAAUAUUUAAAGAGGAAAAAGUGAUAUGGGAUGUGAAAUAUAAAUAACAUUGACAGCAGAAAUGGUGGAACAUGAAGUUUAGCUUCCUUUUGCAGUGGAUAUAUGAAAUAGUUUUGCACUCCAUGCCGAAAUGAUGACAACUAUAUUUGGCAUCCUUAAUUCUGUAGUAAUACUUAUCAAACUGUGGAUUGAGAGUGAGAAAUAAUCUCAACACAGUUUUUGAGUUAAAGGAGGCUCCUGCCGAACAAUUCUUGAAGUAGAAGCUGGUAAAGUUGUAGAGGUGUGAUGAAUUAAGAUCAGUUGAUUAGGUAGGCUUUCCAGAAAAUGAUAUAUUAUGCGCAUAUCGGUGAUAUUUAUAGAAAUAUUUGUCAUAAGCUUAUUCUGCUAUGGAGCAUCAGCACUAACUAUGUGGAUGAUGACAUGAAAGCUGCAUGGUUUAAACCAGUUCACUGUCUUCAAUCUAACAUAUGCAUCACAACCAUCAUUUUUGGAUACGCAAGAAGAUCUCGAAAGAACUACCGAAGAAACAAGGAAUACAUGGAUCCCAGGAAGAUCAAAUACAUGAUUGCUGGCUUAUUUAUUUUCUGGCUACCUUGGCUCAUCUUGAUCUUGAUCACUGACGAAAAAAAUAGUUGCGGAGCAGAUUUAAUGGUUGCUAUAUUUGUUUACGCAAAGAGUACUGCCCCAUAGUGUUAAUUCAGCAUAAAUGAACAAUUGAGAUUGAAAACAAGCUCAGCACACCUCUUGGCCUCUCUUCCACCAAUUUGCUUUGCAUGUUUAACUGAAGUCUUCUUACAAGCUAUAAAUAGAGGGGGCGAAAUGGAGGGCAGAGAAAAGAAAAGGAAAACAAUGAGUGAGAAGAAACAUGGACAUCCUCAAAAGUAGGUGAAUUGAAGGUUGAAACAUUCCUCCAUAGGCUUUAGAAAGAUCAUGGAACAAAGUGGUGGUCAUGGUUUUGUCAAAAGCAAUCCUUCUUGGCAUGCAAAGGCUUCUUCUAUAAAUCCAUGUGUUCGGGUUGACAGAGAAGUUCUCCAAGCAUUUCCCAUCCUCCCUUUCUAGGGAAGAAUCAUGGCGAAGCGCUUGGAGGUACAUGAUUUAGCAAGCAUAAAAAAGAAAAAAAGAAAAAGAUUUUCCCUUUGCUUCUUUGAUGUUUGAAACGAUUUGAUAAUUAGUCUUCGAAUUUUUUAGCACGAAGAUCAUACCUUUUUUGUUUUGUUUUUGAUAAUUAGUUCUUUAAUUCUCCUUUGUUAAUAUCUGAAGUCAGUAGAUAUAGAUAAUCGAGCGUUACCACCUGAUGAGUUUCAUCUGGUGUAACAAUACAUCAUGAAAAUUUUACCUUCUUAUUCUUACUCUUUAAAGCUUGUUUUUGUUUCCCUGUACUGUUAUCCUCAGUUGGAGAUGGUUGACUUAGCCUUGCUUUGUCACUUUCUUACUAUAAUUUUUUGGAGGAUCAAGCUUUUUUCGCUUGUAUUAACAAUUCUCUUCUCAAAAUAGCCCAGCUGUUCUUCUAGGCAAAUUUGAAACAUGUGCUUGUUCACUGGAUAUCAGAGCAAGAUAUGAAAUAGAAUUUUUCUUUCCUUUUUUUUCAUUUUGGAAUCUGUUUAAUUUUGAGCUAGUGCCAAAAACGUUUGAAACUUCAGAUGCAUGUGAAUUUAUUUCUUUUUCUUUGUUUUCUUCUAUCAGACUAAGAACUACAGGUGGAUAUGUAAUGCACCUAGAGAGAGAAUGAGAACUCUUCCAUUUCUUUCAGUCAUUUAGAUUUGGCACCACUGUCCCUUAUUUCUUUAAGCUUUGCUUAAGGAGUUGGCCAUGUUAAGCUGCUUCUUUUUUCUCUGUUGCAAGUUUAUCUGAUGUCUAUUACUGGAGAUACUGCCUCAAUGUUGUGAUCCAUAGAAACUCUGCAUGACAUGUCAAGAUGCUUUUCUGCAAUCCUACUAUUAGACAUUGAAUGCUUGAAGCAUUUGUGUUCCUUUGCCUCUAUGUUCAUCCGUUUACCGGUUGAAUUGUCUCCUUUCAGAACAAGGAAUGGAGGUCUGUUCCUCAAUUUGGAGGGUGGGAUCAAAAGACAGCUACACCCGACUACUCCAUGGUCUUCUCGAAAGCUCGCGCAAACAAAAAACACAAUAAGGCUGAGUUCAGGCCCUCAACCAGCCUCGGAACUGAAGAGGAGUUCAUGGUUUACCAACGCUAUAAAAGCAAUGAGUCCACCAAGGUAAGAAAUGGUUCUUCCUUGCUGCAUUUCAUUUUCUUUCACUAUUUGAUCCAAAUUUCAGUUUGCGGAUGAUAUGGUUUAUUCGCUUGUUGGUUCUUCUAUACAUUAAUCUACGACAACUACAUGUAGACCUUACGACGAAAAACUUAAUCCACUCAUAAUUCGAUAGACUGAAAGCUCACAUGCUCUUCUACUAGUGUUCAUUGAAUUAGAUCUUAAAUAGUUCAUAGACUACUCGAAUCUGAUCUUAAUAGUGAUACAUGUAAUAGACAGAGGUGAACCUUUUUUUCAGUCCUAACCAAGAAAACUUACCAGAUCUGCAGCAAUGCAGGAUAUAUGGUAAUAACACAAUGUUUACAGUACAUCCAAUGGACUUCUUUCCAUCUAUGAUUAUAUGUGAGAAUGAUAGAUAUCUAUUACCAUAAGACAUUUAGGAUCUUGCUAUAGAGGUGGUAAGGCAAAACCUAAUACAUCCUUUAUUGAACUCUUCAACAUUUUGCAUUUUAUAUGUUUCAAGAAUCACAACAUUGAGGCAGUAUACAUGCAAUUGCAUUUUUAUUGUAUCAUGUAUGUUCACCUGAAGUGGCUUCUAUAAUUGACUUUUAAUUGAGUUCAAUCUCUUCCAGCAUUACAUUUUGCAUGUUUCAAGGAUCACAACAUUGAGGCAGUGUGUAUGUACAAUUAUCUCAAGUGUUUUUGCAGGAUCACUACGUUGUAUACUUAGGCAAGGAAACAGUUUACGCAUGCUGCAGAGCUUUCAAAUAUAUACAUGUUGAGCAUAUGCUGGUUCAUUUUAUAAUUGAUGUGCUUUUCGGGUUAUGAAAUCAAUUCACAUCUUGAAAUUAUAAUUCUUGGAGAUAAUGGUACAAUUUUCAAUCUGGCGGCAUCUCUGAACAUCUCUUAGGUAUCGAAACUUCAAAAGUUUGCUUCAGUCUAAAGGUUUUCUAAUGCAAUCUUCAGGGCAUUCCAGUGAACCAUAUUGGGGUUUUGCAUGUACCAUUGUGAGGUCAGACACUCAUGUCUAUGUGCAACAAGCAUCCCUCUCAUCUUUAAGCUACAGGGUUCAAUCUAUUUCUUCUUGCUCUAAGGCAAUUAAACUUGAUUUAUAUUUAGGCAUCUAAUAGGAUCAUAAGGUUCCGACAUAAGCUCACACAUCAAUGAAUAGUGUAGAGUUAUCUCCAUAGGUAUCCUGCAUCAAUGAACCAAAGUUGAUGUUGAAGUAAUUGCACAAGUAGGAUCUUUAAUUAUCACACGCAGGCUCAAUGCAACACACUUAUCUACAAUCGAUAAAUGGUGGUGCACAUAAUCACUCCUCCUGAAACAAUAAACUAAGAUCAUCAUCUUGUCAUAUGACAUUGGUUAAGAACCUGGUUUCGGAAAGAGUUUAACUGCUCUGAAGGUAAUGUGUUCCAAUUAAUUAACAAGAAAACAUCCUAUUCAGUACAAAUAUCUUCAUCUACCUCAGUAUUUGAAAAGUCUAUCAAGAACCAAUGAUGAAUCAUAAGACUAAAUAUAUUCAGAGCAAGGUAGGGUAUUUUAAGUGGAAAUAUAGGACAUAGAGAAUAAGUAUCAAAUUAUCUUAGACUGAUAGGUUUUAUUUUCUUUUACAUUGUAUUGUAAAUAUCCAUUUAGAACCCAUUUAUCAUGUUGUGGUAAGUAUGAGUCUAGAAGUGUCGGGGGAUGAUUGGUUCAAAAUCACUCGUAAUUAACUUCUCAGGGAGCAUCCACAGAAGACUUGGCUUCCCAAUAGGUUGAACACUCAGAUCUACUAUAAGUAGAUAUUUUCUCCUAAUUUCUUUUAAUCUGGGCCUUUUUUCUUCUAUCUUAAAAUGCAACCAAAACGUUCUCUCCUUUUAUGUUGUACCAUUCCCGUGACACAAGAUUGAUACGUAGCAUCAGAACAUCGAUACAUCACCUCUUUUUAGAUGUCUUUCCUUUCGGUUUUGGUUAAUUUUUUAAGUCUGAGGAAUAUUAGAGUCAGAUGCUUCUCUAACCUGCACUGUUCAGAUCUUACCUUAACAGGGAAAACACUUUCAAGGUAGGUGGCAUCUCUAGCUUUGAUUAUAGCACUACUACAUGAGAUUUUACUUCCCUCAGGACAAUCAACUAGAAAAUUUUGUUUUUAUUGUUGUUUUAGGAAUUGCCUAUAAGGAAAAUUUUAGAAUUAAUAUUCAGAUGUAGCUCAUGAAAACAAACACAAUUUUUGUUUAUGAUGGAAUCACCUCAUUUGAUGUGUUCUCCUUGCAUAAAUCAAUACAAGUACCUUAAUCCUCUUCGGAAACCAGUUUGUGUUAUGGCCUUGUCAAAAAAUCUAUUAAGGGUUUCAUCUUUGGACUCGGAUGCCAUCAUUUUGAGUAUUCAUAUAUGAGGCUCAAUUAUCUGUUUCAGCUGAGUAGCAUUGCCAUCUGAAUCAUAGAUGUCACUUUGGUUCAGCUCUAGAAAACCGGAAUCUUGGACUAAAUUUGGAAGUCUUUCUUAGACUUGAUGUAGAACUAAAAUCUUCUAGUUAAGAUCUAGAAGUGGUGUUAGAAAUCAGAUUCUACAGCAUUCAUGCUUUAGUGCAAGGGAAAAAUCAACUUUCUCGAAGAGUUUCAAGACCAAACCUCACCUAAUGAACAGAUAACCCCUCAGUGAUUAGAGUCUCUUUGUAUUCAUGCUGUAAAAGAACAUAACCAGUAAUGAUAACUCCAUGGAGGCACUGCACAUAAGAAAGUGAGAAGUAUUUUUUCUUCAGGUGUUGAAUUCGGAUCCAGACAUCCUGUUUCCAGGGUUAGAAUGCGGUCUCAACAAUUGCUGUCACAUUUCUUCCUUCUGAUUUUUAAUGUGCUGAAAUCUAACUACAGAUCUACAAAGUGCAAGAUAAAAAUAAUCAACAUUCUAUCGAGCAUAGUAGCACCAAGGUUCAUUACAUUCUCUUUAAUCUCUUCUUUAUCUGUGCCACUCUUACACUCAUCGAGCCAUGGCAUGAGAUGAACAUUAAAUACAAAUAUAGAUCCCGAUAAGCUCAUUGGAUCAGUAAAAACCAGUCGGUGUGUAUAUGUUCGACUGGUAUUUUGAACCGUGCCAAAAAUUUUACUAGGAAAUUUGUUCUACAAUUAUGGUAGUUUGAUAUAGGGGAUAUUGAAAUCAAAACUGGUUGUUCAUUAACCUUUAACAUCUAUGUGCAGAAAGGGAAGAAGUCUCUGCGAUAUCUCAGCUGCUUCAUGGCCUGACUCUGAAAAUGAGAUGGUGUCAUCAGUUUUCAGCAGCUUGCAGACUGUGUAUGCCGAAGAUCGGGGGGAGACUGAUUACACCAAAAAUCUCAUCAUCCCUGUUAAAAGAAGUGUCAUGUGUGUUCUCCAGGAUUUCAUCUGUCUUGUAUGCUCACCAUGUUUCUCUACAUUAUAUCGAGCAAGGCUGGCCGGUAUAUAUAUCCAUUAAAAAUGCUGAUUGCUAGAAAGAUGUGUGUGUUGUUGCAAUUCAUUUAGAAAAAAAUUAUCAUGGUUGUUUUUCUACCUUUAUUAUUAUGUAUCUCCAGAAGAAGUUAAUAUCUUCAUAUCAAUCAAUGCAGUAGUAUCAAGCAACCUAAUGACUGGAAACAUGAGCAAUAUGAUGCUACAUUUCAGAAGCACCUUGCCCUGUAAAGUUCACUUCAUCAAGUGUUCUGCACAAGACUCCAACUUGCAAAUUGGUAAAACAACUACUAGAAUUGGGAAUCAGUACAGUGAUCUUUCGAUCUUUGCAUGCAUUUGAGUACAAUGUUCACGAUGCAGGUGUGUCAGCAAAGAAACUUGGUCAUCCAAGACAUAAGUUGACCGUAAAGAAUCUGUAACAGAGAAGUGGAGGCAGGUAAGACGAAGCUGAUAGAUUUGGUGUUGACCUGUGACUUUGCUACUGAUGAAGCAGAGAUACGAACGAGGAGCAUUCGACGCUCACGAUAAAUAAGAUUUCUUUGCUUCGUCUUCUCUCUCCCUCUACGUCAUGCCUUCGGUCAGCCAAUAACCCCUCGCUAAAACCGGAUGUAGAUUUCUCCUCUCUGUUCCGGAGAACAGCAGCACGUCGCCCCACCAUGAAGACGGUCCCGGUAGCCAUCGGCCGCGGGAGAAAGGUCGUGCGGAUCCACUGCACCGACGCGGACGCCACCGGUUCCUCCGGCGACGAGAACGAGGCUGCCAUGCGCCGGGUCAAGAGGCACGUCCAGGAGAUCGGGUUUGAGGUGGCGGCGGCGAAGGCGCAGGUUGACAGGCGGCCGCUCGCGGCGGUUUCGGGCUCCUGCUGUGGGAAGCGGUUCCGAGGCGUCCGGCGGCGACCUUGGGGCCGAUGGGCGGCGGAGAUACGCGCCCCAUCGCGGAGGAAGCGGGUGUGGCUGGGGACCUUCGACACCGCGGAGGAAGCUGCCGCCGCGUACGACGCUGCUGCAAUCAGGCUCAGGGGAGACAACGCCGAGACCAUCUUCCCCGCCGGAACGGCGGCGGCGGCCGGAAACAGGGACUUAUCCUCCGUUGGGGAUGCUGCCGCCUCCGACAACCCGUUCUCCUCCCCGUCGUCGGUCCUCUGUAACGGCAUGGACAAGACGCCGUUCGACGUCCUGGGCCACGGCGACGUCGACGCUUUCGGGCUCAGCGUCGAUCCACCGUUACACACAAGGGAGUUGUACCCACCGAAGUGGCCGUGUGGGGACACAGGCGACGAGUUCGCGGAGUUCGCCGCGGAAGAUUUCCUGCUACCGGCAGCACCUUCGAGUCUCUCGAAUGCCGAUACUGCCCUUGCCUUGUCACAGUCGAAACGAGAACAUAUGGCAAGAGUGAACGGUAAGUCGUGCUACGUACGUGUAAGCCGUGUAUUGUCGCCAAAAGUCGUGCUACGUACGUGUAAGCCGCCAUAUUGCGGCAUGCGUGGCACCAUUUGAGCCGUCGAUCGGGGUGGCGGGAGGGCCCAGCUGUGGCCCGCGGCGUGAAUCCUCCGGCUCCCUCGAUCGGGAGAUACGUGGCACCAUCUCUAGAUUCCCAUCUAUGUAGAAUUUUUGCUCCCUAAUGGAUCGGAUUCGCUGGGCCCGCACCAAAAUCCGAGAUAACUAGCUGAAACAACCCGCGUCCAAGAAGGGUACAACGUCGGGUUCGGAUCAAUCAUGCGGGCAUCGUCAAUGUGCGGCCCGGUUUGCUUUGGGUCGGCAUCUGCUUAUAAAAGCAGAAGAAGGAAGACUGCCGUUUGACCUGCUCGGUCGACCAAGGUUCCUCCUUCUCAGGCCUCAAACUUGAAUCACCAUCAUUUUCCUCAGAUCCAUUUGCAGAGUCAUCGUACCCCAGAUCGUUGCACUUCGGAUCGGGAUACUGCCGCCGAGAGCGAUAGUUCGCAUCAUCGCCACCACCAGGUACGAAGUUGAGAUCUUUGUAGGUUCAUUCCCCUGCCCUCGAUUCUUGCUGGAUCCGUCGGCAAAUUGAGAUAGAUCUUGCCUUCUCAUUCAUUUUUCCACUUAAUUUUCCCGUGUGAAACUGUUGCAUCUAUUCCUGGUCUUAAUCGUUCGUUUUUGUGGCAGAUCGGCCUGCAUACACGAAUGGGAAAGUUUUAAGGCAAAAUUAUCGCUUUGUCAUAGCAUUAUAUAUGGUUUUUCCGUUGAUAAGUUAACAUUUGGUGUGACCCCCAUAGACUCGCGAGAAAUUAUCUGUUUUGACGGUGGACGUACGGUUUUGCCCUUUCGGAGCUUAUGAGCUCCAAAAGGUGCUUUGGGCCACCCACACGGUACACACAGCACUCAAGUGUAGGACUGCACCAUUGACUUACAUAUUGGCACUCUUCCCCUAUAAGAGUGAGCACUGAUAAGGAUAUUUAAUCCCAUAUUGGUUGAGGAGUAAGGGAACCAAGGGCUCAUAAGGCCGUCGAGUCAUCCUUAUCCUCAGAGGCAUCGAGCUCACAAGCUUUGAAAGGGUAAAACCAUACAGGUAUGCCCACCGCCCAAAGCGGACAAUUCCUCACGCCCCUAUAGGAUCGUACCAAUGACAAAUCGAUCAAAUGUUAACUUAUCAAAUUGGUACUAGAAGGAGGGCAUUGGGCUCUUGGCUCCCCUACGGGAGGGAGCACUGAUAAGGACAUUUAAUCUCACAUUCAUUGAGGAGUAGGGGAAUCAAGAGCUCAUAAGUCCGUCGGAUAAUCCUUACCCUCAAAUGCUCCUUUUGAAGCUCACAAGCUUCGAAAGGGCAAAAUCGUAUGGGUACGCCCAUCGCCCAAAGCGGAUAAUUCCUUACGCACCUAUGGAGUCGCAACAAUAGCGGACCAACCAAAUAUUGACUUAUUAGAUUGACGCUAGAAGGAGAGCCUGGGCCCUUAACUCCUCUAUAGGAGGAAAUACUAAUAAAGAUAUUUAGUCCCAUAUUGGUUGAUGAGUAGAGGAACCAAGGGCUCAUAAGUCCAUCGAAUCACCCUUACCCUCAGAGGUGCUUUUUGGAGCUCACGAGCUUCGAAAGGGCAAAAUCGUGCAGGUACGACCACCGCCCAAAGCGGACAAUUCCUCACGUGCCAACGCGGUUGCACCAAUGGUAGACCGACCAAAUGUUGACUUAUCACCCGUGAUAGAAAUGUAAGCUAUGGAAUACGAUUCAUUAUGACAAGCAAUAAGUGGGCGGUUAGAUUAAGAUAUCAUUAUUUUGGGAAAUGGGUGGUUCAUGUGGAGGAAAAUAAAUGAAACAAGAGGUAAAGAACGAAGAUUCAACGUUUUUGAGACAAAAUGAAGGUGUUGAAAUUGUUCUCACUCAUAGUGAGCCCUGAUCAUGGAUUUGAUCCAUAUUGGGUUUCCUUGUUCCAAGUGCCACUCAGGUACAUCAGGAUCCUAUCUAGGGGUGGCAGAUUGUCAUGAAGGCUGAAUGACAAUGGGCGCACGAGACACCUAGCAAGGGUUCAAACCCUUGACUUGCGAGAAGGGGAUCCAAGUACAUGCCCAUCAGGCUUGCUGGUCGGGUGUGAUUUGACCCAUAUCGUUGAGGCUUGAAGGAUUGCUAGUGAAGUACAUUGUAAAUGGAAAAGGAUAAAAUGGGAAGGAACAUAGCUAUUUGCAAUUUCCAAAAAGGUUUGGUAUAGAAGUACUGAAAUUCACAAUUGAACAGAUGGAAGCAAUGUGUUGGAAUAUAGAAGUUGGGGAUAUUUGAAUAUCUGUAGAAGUUAGAGGUGGGUAGGGUAGUGGGUCAUAAUGGUCAGAAGUCCAACAUUUUUCCCUUUUGUAGUAGGUAAGUGUCAAAAAUCAUUAUUUUUAUAAACUAUUCAAGAGUGAACAUUGACUGUAUGAGAUAUAAUGCAAAAGUUUCUUGACAAUAUAUGCAAACAAGAAGAUAUUGGAAAGAAUCGUAUCAAAAUACUCUGCAAUAAUUCAAUUCUUGACUAGGUAAUCUUAAAUGAUACAUUUGGCAAUAAAGCUUGCAUGUCCUAGUUACAUGAAUGUUGAACUUAAUCUCAAGCUAUAAUGAGAAGUGGGACAACCUUAUAUGCUGACACAAGUGGUUUUCCACAAGUACUCAUUUAGUAUACAUAUACUUUCAAAAGCUUUGCAUGAGUAUUGCUCAAACUGAAGUAUACAUAACAGUCAACCCUAUCCGUUUUCAGUGUUGUACUCUUGGUAACAUGGCCAUGGUCUCUCUAAAUUGGUUUCUUAUGCAAUAGGCUUUGGCCAUUAUAAAAAAAAUUGCACGUUUGGGUUCUGCCAUAUACUGCAUUAUAUGGUUUGAUUUCUUGGACAUCAACAGAAUUGUGCUACAACCUAACCAAGGUUGAUUUCAUUUGAAUAUUAGUACUCUCUAUUUUGCUUCUCAUGGUUAUUAACUGCAGUAUCCUCAUAGUGUGCAAUUUGUUUCUUUACCCGUAAUUUUGGGCAUGCUUUACUUUUAAUUGGAAUUUCUUUUCUCAGUAUCUGAUUGUUUGCAUCAGUUCAUGAACUUUAACUUUUACUGAUGUGUUCUUUCUUCUGUUUUUGUUUUCCCAGAAGCAGCUGGUGGUCUGAUUAUUUGGACUCAACUUCUAACCAGAAUGGGAAAUUGUUCAGGAAAAGUGAGAAAUUAUCCAUAGAUGACAUCAGAACCCAUGAUGAGUGCUAUGAAUUUGUAGUUUUAAGCAUUUUGUAUUGUGGAUGUUUCUUGGAUCACAUGCUUUUGGUUGUUAUCCACUGUUUUUAUAAUCAAUCUCGAUAUCCUUUUUUAAUUCACUAUUUACUUGUGCUUUUCAGAUAUGUUUUUCUCAUAGUUCAGAAGUCAAUGCAUGUGAAUGAAUUUAACUGUGCAUUGUAUGUGUUGUAGAAGGAAAUUCUGAAUUUAGUAAAAGAUUAUUGUGGUUUAUGGAGUAUGUAUAUGAGUUAGCAAUGGUUCUCUGAGUAGUAAUGUUGCAGCGAUAAAGCCUGUGACUUUUAGCUUCAUCAAACAUAUUAUUAUGCACUAACAUGAUUUCUUCUCCAGUCGCAUUUUUCAUCUGUCUCAUUGCAAGAGCCUGCAAGUUCAUGCUUUAUCCGUUGACUGCUAGAGGAAUUUUCAUCAUUGUAUAAAAUGUUAUCUUCACCUAUCGUGCAUAUAUCUGAUGAUUUUCUGGACCUGAACGUCUGAUGUUGCAUAUUUUUUACCAUGUUCCUCUGGAAAUUACCUUACUCAUGUUACAUAUAUAGAUGUUAGUCUCAGGAGUUGGUGAAUAUUCAGUAAUCUUUUCUAUUUUUUUCCUUUUAUUUUAGAAAGGUGGAGGGGGUGAUCUUGAAGAUGAGAUAAACUUCAGAGGUGGAAAUGUGCAUGUAAUAACUUCAAAGGAAGGCUGGGACCAAAAAGUUUCGGAAGCAAACAAGGAUGGGAAGAUAGUAAGCAACUUGAAAAGUUCCACUUAUUUAUGUACAUUUAUCACAUUAACAAAUAUGAUCAUAGAGUCCUCUUACACAAGCAGUCAACACCAAAUAUUAAAUGAUCUCCUAGUGCUUGCAUUUGCACAUACAAGCAGUCAAUGUAAGUUUGCAGUUUUAUGACUGAAAUUCAUAUCCUGUUCUAUGUUAUGAAUUUGGUUGAAAUUGCACAACCAAUUGAAGAAAGGAACUCAUUAGGGGAUGCAUUUCUUAGAGGUUGCUUUUUCAGUCUUUUCUUUCAGAAGGUCAAAAGAUUCCACAACUAUUCUCUUUUCUCCCAAAGGCGGCAGGUGAUAAUGGAAAGAAGCCUAUGCUGCCUGGUCAAAUAUUAUAAAUUGAUUUUUUUAAUAUCAGAAUUAGAUAGUUCAUGUGAAGACAUCUUGCAUAUGUUAAGUUUCAUAUUAUUUGCAUUCAAGAAGUAUUGGUUAAAUGUACAUGAGCACUAUAAAUUUAUAUUUGGUCUUUUAAAAAGUAACCUAGCUAAUUUCGAUACAAACACUAACCUCCUUUGCACUUGUAAAUUACUUGAGACUUAAGGCAUAUGCAAAUUCUUUCGGACUAGGAAUCUCAAAGUUGCAGGCUUUCAAACCGGGACCAUGCUUCUUUAAGUCCUGUUUGCUCUGGUGACAUUUUAACUGUCAGAGAUAGAUCUGCAUAUACUCUCUGAAUACUUAACCACUGUUGAACCUGUUUCACUUUAGCUUAUGACAUGAGGUUAAAUUAUAGUCACAAAAAAGAAUAACUUCAGUGUUUUUGCUGUUGAGCUUGAUUUAAUAGCAGAAAUAAAAUCUUAUAUUCAUAUAUCAACAUUGUUUCUUCGAAAAUCCAAGUAUAGAAAGCCUGCAUUGUUGAAGUGGAUAUUACUUGUAAAAUCAAUUACACGGCCAUUGGCAAUCUUUGUGUAGGGUUUGAUAUACUUGGAUGGGGUCUGAUGAUGUUCGUCUUCAUUGUGAUCUAAUAUAAAUUUAACAUUCUAGUAAGUGCCCUACAUACCUGGUGAUUUUAAGCCGGAUCUUCUAACUACAUACCUGGUGUGAUGAAAGUGCUUUAGAAAAAAAGGGACUCUGAAAGUGUCAGUUACAUGUUGAAAGCAAUAACCCUGAAUAUUCAAAUUUUUAUUUUUAUUUCUGCACAUACAAAUAGUUUUUUUGUGAUAUAUGCCUUUGUUCCCACAGGUUAUAGCAAAUUUUAGUGCAGGUUGGUGUGGCCCAUGCAGAGCGAUGGCACCGGUGUAUAUGGAGCUGUCUGAGAAGUAUCUUUCACUGAUGUUUUUGUCGAUAGAUGUCGAUGAGUUAACAGUAAGAUUUGCUUCAACCUUUAUUUGAUCCAUCGCAUUUUCUGGUCCAUUCUGCUAUAGAUUUGAAAGUGCACUUACUAUUAUGUCACUUAUCUUUUUCAUGAAUAGGUUAUUAGUUUUCUACUUGCCUGAUUUCGUUUAUCCUAGUUUUUACCUGCUACUCCUUCCUUAUCUCGAAUUAGUACAUUUGUCAUCCUUGAGUAUGCUUAAAGCUAUUGAUUGAGACAUCUCUUAUUCAAAGCGUGGGAAAUGUUUUGAUUAUUUUUCACAAGAAAAACUUAGUUGAGACGAUGGGAAAAAAGGCAAAUCAGUUUACCAUAACAUAGCAUUGUCUUAAAAAAAUAAAUGUCCGUCUUAGUUUGGGCAGGGAAUUCUGAACUUUGUCUUCUUUGCUAAGUCACGGUUUAGGUUCUGGAUAAGGCUUGGAAUAAGAUUUGAUGCUUAUAGAAAAGUUUAUAGAAUCACUAUCUAUCUGCCUUUUCCCAGCCUUUGCAUUAUGGUAUCCGUACCCGUUAGCAUGGUGUUAAAUGUUAUUUCUGCAUUACCAAAGCCAAGAACUUUCCAACUUGAGCACCGGUUGGAUAGGCACUCACCACUGGCAGAGAGAAGAUGAAACAUAUAGGCAUUAAGCUACGUAAGGAACUUGUGCAUCAACAAUUAUUUCAGCUUUAUGAAAUUCAUAAAUUUGUGGAGUUAACAGUGCAAUUUUUAUAGAGCUUAUAAUCUGACCUCAGAUGACUCACCAAUCUUCCUAAAUGUAAAGAUCAAAGGUUUGAGCUCAUCGAAACUGCAAAGGUGCUUGACUUUUAGUUUUCUAUUCAAUUUUUUUGCAAGCGGAGAAUAAAAAACAUGAACUCCAGAUAGAAAACAUUUUGUUCUUGAGAAAACUACUAAGUAGCGUAAGAAAAGCUUAGAAAGCUUAUCAGUAACUGAGAUGCAGCCAACAUCUAGUAAUCUUUGUCUCAUAUAUCGUGGUGAGCUCUUUUCUGCAUGUGAUGCAUAAUAAAGCUAUAAAAAAUAUAAUCUCAGAAAAUUCUGAUAACUGCAUCCUUAUGAUCAACUUCAGUGUUUUUGGUUUUUCCUCGGACUAAAACUUCUACUUGUGUGAUACAUUCAUUUAUUAGGAAAUUUUAUGGAUCAACAGAUAAAAAUAAUGGAAAUUGUUCACCAUAUUUUCCUGGGUAAAUAUUUAAGUUGGAUCAUGUUUUGGAAGUCAGUUGUAGAGAAUUUAUAUGGUUAUACAUGUUUCAGGAAUUUAGUUCGUCGUGGGAUAUCCAUGCGACUCCAACAUUCUUGUUCCUGAAAGAUGGGCAACUGCUGGAUAAGCUCAUAGGUGCCAACCGAUCUGACCUGGAGAAGAAGAUAAUCAUGUUUGUUGAUUCCUGCUCCAAAAAUUCAAAUCUAUAAUGCCAAGUCCCUGCACUCUAAAUCUUUUCUGUCAAAACAAUUGUCAGCUUAUCCGCCAUGAGAAAACACAUCUGUACCAUGAACUCCUUUUGUUCUAUGAAUUGCGUCAGUCGUGGUUUUCAAAAUGACCUCUCUUCCUCGCCAGUCACCAUGAAUGCCCAAAUAAUCUAAUUUUAUUCUGCUUGAUGUGAUAGGCAAUGUGACUGACAAGGUUUGCAGUAAUUGAAGACAUUAGCUGAAGUCAUUGUUUACUCGGGUUAGGCAGAGCAUACAAAGGCAUCAUCAACACACAGAAGACGGUGGAUCGAGGCCACCCUCCCCCGGCGUGAUGUGAUGGGCAAUGUAAAUGACAAGGUUUGCAGUAAUUGAAUAUAUUAUUAGCUGGAGGCUAAUACGUUUUUUUGGACUCAGGUAGGCACAGCAUACAAAGGCAUCAGACUACUACUAGUACUAGUACUGCUACUACAACACAAGCUGGACGAAUACAGAAGACGGUGCGUCGAUGCCACCCUCCACCGGCGUGAUGAACUCACCGGCCCUUUGGGUUCACGAUCUGUGAGAACACCGCACUGGGCGUCAAUCCAUCGGAGUCCUCGCUACCCACACUCCUCCCUCCGAUGCUUAUCGUGGUGGUGGUGGUGGUGCUCGGCUCGCUUGAUGGAUCAUCAGCAACCUUCUUUCCAUCCAUCACAACCGAUGAUGCCGUCUCUUCUGAGAUCCCGUCACCGAGACUGCCAUUCUCCUCCGCGCUCUCCUGCAGCUGGAGCGCAAACUCGAGGUUCCAAAGCACAUCGCCCAUCGAUGGCCGUUCCGUUCCCGCAUCCGCCACGCACUUCUUGGCAGUCUCUGCAAACUUCUUGAAGCACUGCGCCGCAAUCUUCCCCUUCAGGUAGGGAUCCAUGAUCUGGUCGAGUGUUCCCUUCUUCUGGCAGUGCACUGCCCACUCCGCCAAGCUCACCUGCUCCUUUGGCAGCGACGGGUUUAGGGCUGGCCGAGCACAGAGGACCUCGAACAACACCACCCCGAAGGAGUAGACAUCGGAUUUCUCGGUGAGCUGCUGCCGCCUGAAGUACUCUGGGUCGAGAUAUCCGAAGCUGCCCUUCACCACCGUGCUGACAUGGGUGUUGUCCAG